UCCGGCACUGUCGCUCGAAACCGUCGUCCCCUUCCUUUCCCCUCCCCCCCCCCCUCUCCAACUCCGCGGUCUCGAAGAAUUCAAAAACCCUAGCUCCGGAUCAAGAACCAUCGAAGGCCUUGGUGUCUCGCUGGCGGCGGCGUCCUCCUCCUCCACCGUCGGCAGUGGUGAUCUAAAGGAUCGCAUUGUGCAUGGUGAGGAGAGGAAGGCGAGUUUGGGGCAGACUCGUCUUCAAGAACGAGCUUUUCCAUUACCGAGAGCUCGAGCGAGGUGUCCGAGGGCGAUUCGGAAGCAGGAUCGGGUCGGUGAGUGGAACGAUCUUGGGGAGGAGAAGAAGGCGAGUUCGGGCUAGACUCGUCUCCAAGAACGAGCUCUUCCAUCAUCAAUAACUCGAGCGAGGUGUCCGAGGGUGAUUCUAAAGCAGGAGUCCUCGAUUGGAUCGGCUAGGGGGACGGUCUUGGUGAGGAUAGGAGGCGAGUUCGGGAGAUAGCGUAGGGAGCGAUGAAGUUCCGGCGGGGUUCGUGGAACGGCCUUCGAGUCCGGUGGAUGUGUGAGCUGUGAGGAGCCUGCUGAGUUCGGACACGAUAUUUCAACGGGUUCGUGCUCUCUGGCUUUUCACAUCCAAUUGGAUGGCACAAGAACCAUUGAAUUGUGUUAUUCAGCAUGCGUUGAAUCAAUAGUCGGUGAUUUCUUGGUUGUAUGUUCAGAGCAUGCGGGUAUCUUCAACCUUUGCCUGGUAGUUCUGCUUGCAGUAAACAGCAAGCUUGUCAUUGAGAACUUGAUGAUAAUUUGCAGAAUUUCCAAAUCUUGUUCUGGCCAGAUAAAGAAUCAUGCAGUCUUUCUUAUGUUUGUGUCUGCUUCAUUGGAGCAAUAUUUAUUUUUUUUCCUUCUUGCUGCAUGAUAUACUAAUAGGAAAUGGAUUUUUCUUCAGUUCAAGGUUUCUGAGAGAUUAGCCACUUCUUAUGUGUAGGUAAUGCUUCUUUCCUGAUUUCUUCUUGAUUUUCUUGAUAAUGUCACUCAAUUAUUCAACUCAUUUAUAUAUCAAAUUUCUGACCUGGCAUUUUUUUUAAUGUGUUUGUAAAUUAUAUAGUCUAGCUCUACAUGUUUUUUGUCUUGAUGCUUAUGUGGUUGAAAAGGUGGCACGUGACAAGUUCAUUUCUGAACUUGUAGUCUUUGGACAUUAAGUAUUCCAUAUCAAAUUCAACUUAUCCUUUUUAACCAGGAAUUGACAUAUGGGUAUUUCGAUAGUCUAUUUUGGCUAAGAGCCCCAUAUAGUUAUUGUUAUAGGGCAUCAAUUUUUUGUUAUGCAAUGAGUAACCUGAAAUAUUGGAACACACAUUUAUUGCAUAUUUUCAUAUGUAGCUUUUGUGUGGGUGCACAAUACACCUUCAGAAUUAUGUCUAUAGAUAUGUUUAAUUAGACAAAGAAACCAUUAACUAAUGCAUAUAAAUAUGGCUUUAUUUACUUAGAGUAUGUUUUAUGAAUACCUUAUCUUGUUCGAUUAAUUUAAGAUUGUCUUCCUCUGUCAGUGAUUCUAGAACCAAAGUUGAUCGAUAUCAUUAUAUAAGACAUGCCCCGUGGAGUACUUUAAUACUUUAAUUAGCAGUCGUAGCAUUUAUACUGGUUAUGUUCAAGUGCUUGCUCAGCAGUUUCUUGUUGCUGAGCAAAUAAAUUAUUGCAUUAUUGCAUUAUUGUCAUUCUCACUUUCUUGGGUGUUACAUGGGUUAUUGCUCCAAGAUUGUUCUUUCCACAUGCACGAUCGAAUAAAUUAUUGCACCAUGUGUCCUGAUACAUAAUAUUUUGAUGUUGUCAUAUGUUGUUGAUUAUGCAGCAACAAUAAGUUUUGUGAGAAGUCUGCUUAUUGGUGAGUUCUGAUGUAUAAUGGAAUUAACUGUACCAUAUGCUUUUUUUUUUUUAUCUUUUUUAGGUACAAUUGCCAUGUCAACUUUAUGCUUGAUUAAUGUCAUUUAUUAACUAAUUCUAAUUGACAGAGCUUUUUGCUUAGUGCUUUACUUUUUUCAGUUAUUCACUGCACUGGCCAAAUUAUCUAUUAUAUGAUAAUUAUCCCUUUUUACCUCCUGUCAUAGCUAAACCAGUGUUUAACUUACAUGAUUUGCAGCUUGUUGUUUGACUAAAUGUAAUACUCACAACAACUAGAAUCAUGUAUCUAGUUUCAUGAUUCUAAGGUAAGAGUUCAUUUUGAUGCCUACAACAUUUUCAUUAGAUCUUGAAGUAGUUUGAGAUUUAUAAGUAGCAAUAUGCCUCAUGUAAGUUCAGAUAUGUAAUUCUCUUAGGAAUUCAAAAGAUGCAUAAUUGGCUUUUUUUUUUUUAAUACAAUUUUGAUUGUAGGAAAAAUGAUCAUUUAGAUGUAUCACUUCAAUUGGAGCGUCUGUUGUGUGCUUUAAAAGACCAAUAUUGUGCUCUAUGUUACCGGGUAUUAUCAAGUUGGACCUCUAAUUAAUUGAUGGAAGCUGUUGAUCUGUUGGAUGUCUGGAAAAACAACUUUCUGACAAAGCAUUGAGUUAGCAG
Phoenix dactylifera (date palm) is the source of this 2529-nucleotide non-coding RNA. The record is from RefSeq and is a predicted model, not a curated record. NCBI's taxonomy places the organism in Eukaryota, Viridiplantae, Streptophyta, Magnoliopsida, Arecales, Arecaceae.